AACCCACUGGUUCCGUUGUUGGUGGUGUUUGUCUAACCCUACGCCCGCUGUCAUUCUACCCACUGGUUCCGUCGUUGGUGGUGUUUGUCUAACCCUACGCCCGCUGUCAUUCUACCCACUGGUUCCGUCGUUGGUGGUGUUUGUCUAACCCUACGCCCGCUGUCAUUCUACCCACUGGUUCCGUUGUUGGUGGUGUUUGUCUAACCCUACGCCCGCUGUCAUUCUACCCACUGGUUCCGUCGUUGGUGGUGUUUGUCUUACUCCAUGCCCACUGUCAUUCUACCCACUGGUUCCGUCGUUGGUGGUGUUUGUCUAACCCUACGCCCGCUGUCAUUCUACCCACUGGUUCCGUUGUUGGUGGUGUUUGUCUUACUCCAUGCCCACUGUCAUUCUACCCACUGGUGCCAUAGUUGGUGGUGUUUGUCUAACCCUACGCCCGCUGUCAUUCUACCCACUGGUUCCGUUGUUGGUGGUGUUUGUCUAACCCUACGCCCGCUGUCAUUCUACCCACUGGUUCCGUCGUUGGUGGUGUUUGUCUAACCCUACGCCCGCUGUCAUUCUACCCACUGGUUCCGUCGUUGGUGGUGUUUGUCUAACCCUACGCCCGCUGUCAUUCUACCCACUGGUUCCGUUGUUGGUGGUGUUUGUCUAACCCUACGCCCGCUGUCAUUCUACCCACUGGUUCCGUUGUUGGUGGUGUUUGUCUAACCCUACGCCCGCU
RNAcentral lists this small RNA (721 nucleotides) under Spisula solidissima (Atlantic surf clam). Its description in RNAcentral is "cnRNA254". The record is from RNAcentral. Lineage: Eukaryota; Metazoa; Mollusca; Bivalvia; Venerida; Mactridae.